RNAcentral lists this ribosomal RNA (291 nucleotides) under Campylobacter jejuni. Its description in RNAcentral is "partial 16S ribosomal RNA". It matches the Rfam family "Bacterial small subunit ribosomal RNA", at positions 1 to 289 of the family's 1533-position model. Lineage: Bacteria; Pseudomonadati; Campylobacterota; Epsilonproteobacteria; Campylobacterales; Campylobacteraceae. The record is from RNAcentral.
UUUUAUGGAGAGUUUGAUCCUGGCUCAGAGUGAACGCUGGCGGCGUGCCUAAUACAUGCAAGUCGAACGAUGAAGCUUUUAGCUUGCUAGAAGUGGAUUAGUGGCGCACGGGUGAGUAAGGUAUAGUUAAUCUGCCCUACACAAGAGGACAACAGUUGGAAACGACUGCUAAUACUCUAUACUCCUGCUUAACACAAGUUGAGUAGGGAAAGUUUUUCGGUGUAGGAUGAGACUAUAUAGUAUCAGCUAGUUGGUAAGGUAAUGGCUUACCAAGGCUAUGACGCUUAACUG